UACGUAGGGGCUAGCGUUAUCAGGAAUUACUGGGCGUAAAGGGUGCGUAGGUGGUUUCUUAAGUCAGAGGUGAAAGGCUACGGCUCAACCGUAGUAAGCCUUUGAAACUGGGAAACUUGAGUGCAGGAGAGGAGAGUGGAAUUCCUAGUGUAGCGGUGAAAUGCGUAGAGAUAUGGAGGAACACCAGUGGCGAAGGCGGCUUCCUGGUCUGUAACUGACACUGAGGCGCGAAAGCGUGGGGAGCAAACAGGAUUAGAUACCCCCGUAGUCCCUGAGCGGG
Molecule: ribosomal RNA, 280 nt
Filed under: uncultured prokaryote
Description: partial 16S ribosomal RNA
Rfam family: Bacterial small subunit ribosomal RNA
Source: RNAcentral